Molecule: ribosomal RNA, 616 nt
Filed under: Cortinarius aurantiobasis
Lineage: Eukaryota; Fungi; Basidiomycota; Agaricomycetes; Agaricales; Cortinariaceae
Description: eukaryotic LSU rRNA
Rfam family: Eukaryotic large subunit ribosomal RNA
Source: RNAcentral
UGUGACCUCAAAUCAGGUAGGACUACCCGCUGAACUUAAGCAUAUCAAUAAGCGGAGGAAAAGAAACUAACAAGGAUUCCCCUAGUAACUGCGAGUGAAGCGGGAAAAGCUCAAAUUUAAAAUCUGGCAGUCUUUGGCUGUCCGAGUUGUAAUCUAGAGAAGUGUUAUCCGCGCUGGACCGUGUACAAGUCUCCUGGAAUGGAGCGUCAUAGAGGGUGAGAAUCCCGUCUUUGACACGGACUACCAGGGCUUUGUGAUGCGCUCUCAAAGAGUCGAGUUGUUUGGGAAUGCAGCUCAAAAUGGGUGGUAAAUUCCAUCUAAAGCUAAAUAUUGGCGAGAGACCGAUAGCGAACAAGUACCGUGAGGGAAAGAUGAAAAGAACUUUGGAAAGAGAGUUAAACAGUACGUGAAAUUGCUGAAAGGGAAACGCUUGAAGUCAGUCGCGUCGUCCAGGGAUCAACCUUGCUUUUGCUUGGUGCACUUUCUGGUUGACGGGUCAGCAUCAAUUUUGACCAUUGGAAAAAGAUUAAGGGAAUGUGACAUCUUUGGAUGUGUUAUAGCCCUUGGUUGUAUACGAUGGUUGGGAUUGAGGAACUCAGCACGCCGCAAGGCCGGG